RNAcentral lists this ribosomal RNA (506 nucleotides) under uncultured bacterium. Its description in RNAcentral is "partial 16S ribosomal RNA". It matches the Rfam family "Bacterial small subunit ribosomal RNA", at positions 28 to 523 of the family's 1533-position model. The record is from RNAcentral.
GAUGAACGCUAGCUACAGGCUUAACACAUGCAAGUCGAGGGGUAACGAGAGGAAAGCUUGCUUUCCUUGUCGACGACCGGCGCACGGGUGAGUAACGCGUAUCCAACCUGCCCCCAACUAGGGAAUAACCUUGCGAAAGUAAGACUAAUACCCUAUAAUUUCCUCAGAUGUCAUCUGACGAGGAAUAAAGAUUUAUCGGUUGUGGAUGGGGAUGCGUCUGAUUAGCUUGUUGGCGGGGUAACGGCCCACCAAGGCAACGAUCAGUAGGGGUUCUGAGAGGAAGGUCCCCCACAUUGGAACUGAGACACGGUCCAAACUCCUACGGGAGGCAGCAGUGAGGAAUAUUGGUCGAUGGGCGGAAGCCUGAACCAGCCAAGUAGCGUGCAGGAUGACGGCCCUAUGGGUUGUAAACUGCUUUUAUACAGGAAUAAAGUUGGCCACGUGUGGUUAUUUGUAGGUACUGUAUGAAUAAGGACCGGCUAAUUCCGUGCCAGCCGCCGCGGUAA